RNAcentral lists this ribosomal RNA (253 nucleotides) under uncultured bacterium. Its description in RNAcentral is "partial 16S ribosomal RNA". It matches the Rfam family "Bacterial small subunit ribosomal RNA", at positions 524 to 776 of the family's 1533-position model. The record is from RNAcentral.
UACGUAGGGUGCAGGCGUUAAUCGGAAUUACUGGGCGUAAAGCGUGCGCAGGCGGCCUCUUAAGUCAGAUGUGAAAUCCCCGGGCUCAACUCGGGAACUGCGUUUGAAACUGGGAGGCUAGAGUACGGUAGAGGGGGGUGGAAUUCCACGUGUAGCAGUGAAAUGCGUAGAUAUGUGGAGGAACACCGAUGGCGAAGGCAGCCCCCUGGGCCUGUACUGACGCUCAUGCACGAAAGCGUGGGUAGCAAACAGG